RNAcentral lists this ribosomal RNA (622 nucleotides) under uncultured archaeon. Its description in RNAcentral is "bacterial SSU rRNA". It matches the Rfam family "Archaeal small subunit ribosomal RNA", at positions 146 to 774 of the family's 1478-position model. The record is from RNAcentral.
AUUAUACCCUAUAGGUUACAGAUGCUGGAAUGAUAUGUAAAUCAAAGUUCCGGCGCCUUAGGAUGGAUGUGCGGCCGAUUAGGUGUUGGUGGGGUAAUGGCCCAACAAGCCAGUAAUCGGUACGGGUUGUGGGAGCAAGAGCCCGGAGUUGGAUUUUGAGACACGAAUGCAGGCCGUACGGGGCGCAGCAGGCGCGAAAACUUUACAAUGCGGGCAACCGUGAUAAGGGAACCUCGAGUGCCUGUAUAUGCAGGCUGUCCAGGUGUCUAAAGCACACCUGAAGAAAGGGCCGGGCAAGACCGGUGCCAGCCGCCGCGGUAAUACCGGCGGCUCGAGUGGUGGCCACUUUUAUUGGGCUUAAAGCGUUCGUAGCUGGGUUAUUAAGUCCCUUGGGAAAUCCGACAGCUUAACUGUCGGGCGUCUAAGAGAUACUGGUAAUCUUGGAACCGGGAGAGGUGAGGGGUACUUCGGGGGUAGGAGUGAAAUCCUGUAAUCCUCGAGGGACCACCUGUGGCGAAGGCGCCUCACCAGAACGGCUUCGACAGUGAGGGACGAAAGCUGGGGGAGCAAACCGGAUUAGAUACCCGGGUAGUCCCAGCCGUAAACGAUGUGCGUUAGGUGU